AGCUCAGAGAGCUAGCCUACCAAUCUCUCUCUUCCCUCUAUUUAUCUAUCUCUUCGCUCAUCGAUCUCCGUUUCCAUGAUCCAACGGCUCUGCUCAGCUCGCUUUUCAAGAACACAGAACAAAAGAAAGCUUAGUCAAAUAUUAUAAUAUAAUCGACGAGAAAGAACAGUGGUCAAACUACCUCUGAUUUGCAGUGUUCUCUUUU
Arabidopsis thaliana (thale cress) is the source of this 205-nucleotide long non-coding RNA. RefSeq annotates it as other RNA. The record is from RefSeq. NCBI's taxonomy places the organism in Eukaryota, Viridiplantae, Streptophyta, Magnoliopsida, Brassicales, Brassicaceae. The transcript has a single exon.